AUGGGUCCUCUAUUUCAGCUGCCCUGCAGAGCUGGAGCGGUUCCUGCUGGCGCUGGACGCUGUGUGGAAGAGCACCUACCAGGUGGACCUUCUGCACAAGCCCCUCGAGGACAGCUCUGUCCGGAAGAAAUGCGAGGACGCGCUGAGCCUGAUCCACAGCACGUGGCAGCGCAGCGACAGCCUGUGCCGCGGCCGGGCUUCCCGGGACCCCUGGUGCUAGCCUCCCAGGAGACGAAGAACGGCCCGAUCCCACCAGGCAGAAGCAUGGCGGGCGCACGAACCGGGGAGGGGAGGGGGAAACCUGAGGCAGGGGGGGCGUGGGCCUUGCUCGCUUGGACACUCCACGAUCUUCCCCCGAACCCGGGGUCUCUUUGCUACCGCUGCUAUUGACUCCGCCUCGCGCACCGGUUGAGCUGGUGGUUACACGACAGUUGUUUGUGCCAUGGGUGGGUUGCGUCUCAGUCGGGACUCCGGGUACAAGCGGGAGUGAGAAGCAGGAGCUCUGGGCUGCCACUCCCAGGCGGGAAGGAUCCAGUUGAUGGCAGAGUAGCCGUGAAGAAGGAUGGUGAGGUUAGGGCGUCAGUGGGGAGCGGGCUUCUGCAGAAGGCGGAGUCACUAAGGCUGGUCGCUGUCCGUCUUUUAGAUGCUAGAGCCCAGCCUGCGACCCGUCUCUUCCCCGCCCCCCGCCCUGCCCCCCCCCGUGUUCCUUCGGUUCAAGGCCGGCCACCAGCCUUGCAUCCGCUUCCUGGUCCCUGUUCGUCCUUCUCAGCUUCUGUACUACCUGUCAUGGCCCCCUCAUGCCCCCCCCCACACACACUGAGCUGGGAAGGAGGCGCCAGGGCUCCCCCUACCCUCCUCUCGCCCUGCCCCCUGGCAGCAGAGCCCCUGGUGGGGGAUUGGGCAGCUGGCCUGGGGGGAGAGUGGCUCCCACUGCUUGGAGUUGAGGGUCCUUCUUUGGCUUCUGUGGCUGGGAGGGGGCAGCAACAGCUCACAGGGCUUUCUGCGCACAGACAGAUCUCAUACACACACACCCUCCCCCCCCAAAAAAAAACCCUCUGGGUCUGGGUUCUAGUUGCAAUUUAAUCUUUCAAACAGUUGGGCUAGGAGUAAUUGUAGUUGCCUGGGGUUUUGUUUUGGUUUUUUUUUUUAAAGCUUUUCUUAUUUUUAAACUCUAAUUUUAACAAAUGAGAGACCUGCUAAUGUACUGUAUGUGUUCCCGCAGGGGCCUUUUUCCGGGGGGAGGCCUCUGUGGCACAGUGUGCCUGGAUACACGUGGCCAGCCCUUCCAAUAAAGGCAACUUGGCGAUACACAGCACUUGGGUGCCUGCCUGCCUGCUCAGCGGCCUCCCUUUUUGCCACCCUGAGACUUCCUCCAGUGCCCGAGACUCCCCACCAGCUCGGCCUGCUUGGCCCAGGCCUCGCUUGUCACCGAGCUCUAGAGAUGAGUAGGAGCUUCUCCAGGAAGUCACUGGCUUCCAAAGACCCAACGUUUUUCAGCCUCUUGCUCUCAGGCCUCUCAGUUCCUCAGAUCCGCUUCCUCCAGCCAUGCCCUGCAGAGAUGCCUGGCCCAGAGCCAGUGUCCAAGAACUUCCAUCCUUCCAUCAUUACGAGGUCGGUAAACUGAGGACCCAGAUUGUUGAGGGCAAGAUGUUGACUCUGUAAACUGCUUAGAGAGAGCCAUAAAGCACUGUGAAGCGGUGUACAAGUCUAAGUGCUCUUGCUACCUUCCUUCCUUCCUUCCUUCCUUCCUUCCUUCCUUCCUUCCUUCCUUCCUUCCUUCCUUCCUUCCUUCCCUCCUUCCUUCCUUCCCUCCUUCCUUCCUUCCUUCCUUCCUUCCUUCCUGUUAGAAUGUGAUAUUUGCAGGGUGACUCUGCCCACUGCCAGCAGUUCGAUCCUGACUGGCUCCAGGUUGACUCAGCCUUCUAUCCUUCCGAGGUGGGUAAAAUGAGGGCCCAGAUUGUUUGGGGGCAAAGAGGCUGACUUUGUAAACUGCUUAGAGAGGAUUGUACAAGCAUUGUGAAGCGGCACAUAAGUCUGAGCACAAUUGCUAUCUUCGGUUAAUGAGGCUGAAUCAGGGCACUGGCGAAUCCUCUUGCGCCGUCCCAGAGGAAACUAUUUCCACAAGGUUCCUCCACGUUGAUCUUUAGUGGGGUGAGGCCCAGUGGCCCACCAACGCAAGGGGGGCAGGGAAGCCUCCUGUGGCUCUCACGGGCUUGGGAAAGGGGCUGCCUCUCCAGCCUGGUAGGUCGGGGACUGAGCCCUGUCAUGCGCCCUCCCCUGCACCCUUCGUGAUGCCUCUCUCCGUAGCCUUGCCCUUCCCCUGGGAUGUCCUCCCUGCUUGGGCCACAGACCCAGAACUCCGGCUGUGCUUUUCCACCCUGGAACUGCUGCUCGGUGAGAGUUGGCCGGCCAUGUGCUCAGAUCCAUCUGCCAAGCAGGGGAGGUCCUGCCUGUCCAAGCCGAGCCCUUGUUUCCCCCCCCCCCCCNNNNCCCCCCCCCCCCGAUUAUGAUGGUCUCCCCCUCCUGCCCCCACGGGGGUCAGUCCUUGGCAGCAGGGACCCCUCCUCCUGACCGAGGAAGGUGUGUUUU
Molecule: long non-coding RNA, 2589 nt
Filed under: Laticauda laticaudata (blue-ringed sea krait)
Lineage: Eukaryota; Metazoa; Chordata; Lepidosauria; Squamata; Elapidae
Description: lncRNA (ENSLLTG00000011375.1)
Source: RNAcentral